Galeopterus variegatus (Sunda flying lemur) is the source of this 913-nucleotide RNA transcript. It is a transcript of the gene named transmembrane and coiled-coil domains protein 1 pseudogene, with no coding region annotated. The transcript has 2 exons. The record is from RefSeq and is a predicted model, not a curated record. Lineage: Eukaryota; Metazoa; Chordata; Mammalia; Dermoptera; Cynocephalidae.
AUCCACUCAUCCGAUGAUGGACAUUUGGGCUGAUUCCAGCUCUUGGCUAUUGUGAAGAGUGCUGCAAUGCACAUUGGGGAACAGAUAGGCAUGAAGCCUCCGUCUCACAGCUGCAUGCGUAGUCGCUGUUGAAGCAGAUGCCUACCUAAUUUGACAGUCUUGGUGUGUUUAAACAUUUUGGAGUUUGCAAAUGAGCAUAUUAAGUCUACUGAUGGAGUCUUCGGGCAGUGCACAAUUAUAUGAGGACCCUGAUCCUGGAGGCAAAUCCCAAGAUGCAGAGGCCAGAAAGCAGACAGAAUCAGAACAAAAGUUGUCUAAAAUGACCCACAAUGCUUUGGAGAACAUUAAUGUGAUUGGCCAAGGCUUGAAGCAUCUCUUUCAGCACCAGCGCAGGAGGUCAUCAGUGUCUCCACAUCAUGUGCAGCAAAUUCAGACAGAUCCAGAACCUGAAAUGGAUCUGGAAAGCCAGAAUGCAUGUGCUGAGAUUGAUGGUGUCCCCACCCACCCCACAGCUUUGAAUCGUGUCCUGCAGCAGAUCAGAGUGCCACCCAAGAUGAAGAGAGGGACGAGCUUGCAUAGUAGGCGGGGCAAGCCAGAGGCCCCAAAGGGAAGUCCCCAAAUCAACAGGAAAUCUGGUCAGGAGAUGGCAGUUGUUAUGCAGUCAGGCCGACCCAGGUCUUCAUCCACAACUGAUGCUCCUACCAGCUCUGCUAUGAUGGAAAUAGCUUGUGCUGCUGCUGCUGCUGCUGCAAGUCUACCAGGAGAGGAAACAACUGCAGAACGGAUCGAGCGGUUGGAAGUAAGCAGCCUCGCCCAGACUCCAGGAGAGGAAACAACUGCAGAACGGGAUUCUUCAGACUUUUCUUUGGUAAUUCCAAAGAGAUAUCUCAGCAAGUACCUCAAAGUAUGUUAA